UACGUAGGGUGCGAGCGUUGUCCGGAAUUACUGGGCGUAAAGAGCUCGUAGGUGGUUUGUCGCGUUGUCCGUGAAAACUCACAACUCAAUUGUGGGCGUGCGGGCGAUACGGGCAGACUGGAGUACUGCAGGGGAGACUGGAAUUCCUGGUGUAGCGGUGGUAUGCGCAGAUAUCAGGAGGAACACCGGUGGCGAAGGCGGGUCUCUGGGCAUUACCUGACGCUGAGGAGCGAAAGUGUGGGGAGCGAACAGG
This 253-nucleotide ribosomal RNA is filed under the name uncultured bacterium. Its description in RNAcentral is "partial 16S ribosomal RNA". It matches the Rfam family "Bacterial small subunit ribosomal RNA", at positions 524 to 776 of the family's 1533-position model. The record is from RNAcentral.